AAAAGAAAAACAAACAAAAAA
Molecule: small RNA, 21 nt
Filed under: Arabidopsis thaliana (thale cress)
Lineage: Eukaryota; Viridiplantae; Streptophyta; Magnoliopsida; Brassicales; Brassicaceae
Description: ATSL131350
Source: RNAcentral